Molecule: ribosomal RNA, 590 nt
Filed under: Escherichia coli
Lineage: Bacteria; Pseudomonadati; Pseudomonadota; Gammaproteobacteria; Enterobacterales; Enterobacteriaceae
Also listed under: 1 other name
Description: bacterial SSU rRNA
Rfam family: Bacterial small subunit ribosomal RNA
Source: RNAcentral
GCUGACGAGUGGCGGACGGGUGAGUAAUGUCUGGGAAACUGCCUGAUGGAGGGGGAUAACUACUGGAAACGGUAGCUAAUACCGCAUAACGUCGCAAGACCAAAGAGGGGGACCUUCGGGCCUCUUGCCAUCGGAUGUGCCCAGAUGGGAUUAGCUAGUAGGUGGGGUAACGGCUCACCUAGGCGACGAUCCCUAGCUGGUCUGAGAGGAUGACCAGCCACACUGGAACUGAGACACGGUCCAGACUCCUACGGGAGGCAGCAGUGGGGAAUAUUGCACAAUGGGCGCAAGCCUGAUGCAGCCAUGCCGCGUGUAUGAAGAAGGCCUUCGGGUUGUAAAGUACUUUCAGCGGGGAGGAAGGGAGUAAAGUUAAUACCUUUGCUCAUUGACGUUACCCGCAGAAGAAGCACCGGCUAACUCCGUGCCAGCAGCCGCGGUAAUACGGAGGGUGCAAGCGUUAAUCGGAAUUACUGGGCGUAAAGCGCACGCAGGCGGUUUGUUAAGUCAGAUGUGAAAUCCCCGGGCUCAACCUGGGAACUGCAUCUGAUACUGGCAAGCUUGAGUCUCGUAGAGGGGGGUAGAAUUCCAGG